RNAcentral lists this ribosomal RNA (253 nucleotides) under uncultured bacterium. Its description in RNAcentral is "partial 16S ribosomal RNA". It matches the Rfam family "Bacterial small subunit ribosomal RNA", at positions 524 to 776 of the family's 1533-position model. The record is from RNAcentral.
UACGUAGGGGGCAAGCGUUGUCCGGAAUCAUUGGGCGUAAAGAGCGCGUAGGCGGUCCGGUAAGUCCGUUCUGAAAGUCCGGGGCUCAACCCCGGGAGGCGGGCGGAUACUGUCGGGCUAGAGUCCGGAAGAGGCGAGUGGAAUUCCAGGUGUAGCGGUGAAAUGCGCAGAUAUCGGGAAGAACACCCGUGGCGAAGGCGGCUCUCUGGGACGGUACUGACGCUGAGACGCGAAAGCGUGGGGAGCGAACAGG